GGGUGGUAAUGCCGGAUGCUCCAUCACACCGCAUGGUGUGUUGGGAAAGCCUUUGCGGCAUGGGAUGGGGUCGCGUCCUAUCAGCUUGAUGGCGGGGUAACGGCCCACCAUGGCUUCGACGGGUAGCCGGCCUGAGAGGGCGACCGGCCACAUUGGGACUGAGAUACGGCCCAGACUCCUACGGGAGGCAGCAGUGGGGAAUAUUGCACAAUGGGCGCAAGCCUGAUGCAGCGACGCCGCGUGAGGGAUGGAGGCCUUCGGGUUGUAAACCUCUUUUGUUAGGGAGCAAGGCACUUUGUGUUGAGUGUACCUUUCGAAUAAGCACCGGCUAACUACGUGCCAGCAGCCGCGGUAAUACGUAGGGUGCAAGCGUUAUCCGGAAUUAUUGGGCGUAAAGGGCUCGUAGGCGGUUCGUCGCGUCCGGUGUGAAAGUCCAUCGCUUAACGGUGGAUCCGCGCCGGGUACGGGCGGGCUUGAGUGCGGUAGGGGAGACUGGAAUUCCCGGUGUAACGGUGGAAUGUGUAGAUAUCGGAAAAGAACACCA
This 544-nucleotide ribosomal RNA is filed under the name Bifidobacterium breve. RNAcentral's name for it is "bacterial SSU rRNA". It matches the Rfam family "Bacterial small subunit ribosomal RNA", at positions 158 to 711 of the family's 1533-position model. Lineage: Bacteria; Bacillati; Actinomycetota; Actinomycetes; Bifidobacteriales; Bifidobacteriaceae. The record is from RNAcentral.